CUCCCUUUUCCAAUUGCCUUGGACUUCUGGGCUUACUUUUGGCAUCAUCUCCUAGAGGCAUUUUGCCGGGGGAUGAGAGAUCGGUAAAUGGAACCUCUGAAAGCUGAUUGUUUGGCUUCUGUGUGACUGAGGAGAAAAAGAAUCAAGUUCGGACAAAGGAAUUAAGUCGUCUUUGAAGAAGUUUAAAGAGGAACGCAUACAAAAGAAAUGAAUUCCUCUAUUGCAAGAAGUAAUGAUUACUUGCUGAUGUGAAAGAUAAAUAAGCUGAUGCUCCACUGGGUGUUCUGAACAACAUGCUUCUAGAAAGAGUAAUCUACUGCUAUGUCUCCAAAUUACCAAGUUCCU
This is a long non-coding RNA of Nothoprocta perdicaria, 345 nucleotides long. RefSeq lists it as uncharacterized. The record is from RefSeq and is a predicted model, not a curated record. The transcript has 3 exons. NCBI's taxonomy places the organism in Eukaryota, Metazoa, Chordata, Aves, Tinamiformes, Tinamidae.